ACAGUACCAGCGGCUAUCGUCUUCGACCUGGCCGCGUUCUAUUGCCAUCCUGGUAGAGCGUAGUGCAUUUUUGUGUUAGUGGAGAGCUGGUCUGAUUUACGACGAUUUUAUGCAUAUAAGUUAUCAUACAGCCAGUGCCGUAAGUCAGAGACGGAGUGCCAGCAGUUGUCAUCUUCAAGCUAGAGAUUUUGUACUAGCCUGGCGUAGUUUAAUGCAUUCUUGUGUCAUUGAUGGUCUGACUGUACAAUGAUUUUAUGCAUGUAAAUUUUCACAUGGUCAGUUACAUAAGUCAGAAACAAAGUGGCAGCGUGCAUUAACUGUUCAGCAUUCGUCAGCAGCACAGUGGGAAUAGGGGUGGCUGCGUCCACGGCAGGCAUGAGUGGACGUUGUGUCGUGGGUGAGCGGCACCGCGGCGGCGACAUUGCGUGGUGGUGGUGGUGGCUGUUGUCUACUCCCCGUCUCUGGCCUCCCCCUACCGCAUCUCUACUCCCUGCCUGCCAGCCGUCACGUUUCCGCAAUCCACUAACAGACUGGCUGUGAGUCAAUGAAAUGUCUCCAUCUCACGCAUUCGGGGCUUCGAGUCGCACAGACGGCUGAGCGAAGAGGCAAGACUGGCCGGCCCACAACACAGUCACCAGGCAUCGGGAAAUCUUGCCGUACACACCAAAAGAAUACUGGUGCAUCAUGGACCUCCAGGAGACAGGCAGUACACACUGAACCGUAUCCCGGAGUGGCACCACCAUUGGAUAAAGUACAGCCGAUGCUCGCUACCCAUGAUGAGUACCCUGAUAAUUUCCCAGGUCAGAAGGUAGGGUGGCGUGACCUGUAGGGUGGUGCUACGAGGUAUGAUGUCCACUGAUUCCAAACAGAGGCUGAGGAGUUUUUGAUGUGGACAGCGUAACGGUUGGGCUGACUCGCUCAAAUGCAAACUCCAAUAACUCCGCUUCGCUAGUAGUCAGUGGAGGAUUUUCUUGUACGACAAUGCUCCUUGAGGAAUGACUUUCUUAGUGAUGCGGGACUUCUGUACCACUAUGCCUUGCGUUUUCCUGCACCAGCUGAAAGGAACACAGAGAAGGAACGAGCAGCAGCAGACUUGUUAUUCUUAAGUUUAUUUGUGAUUAGUUGCUGGUACACAUUAAAGCAGCAUUUCCAAA
Long non-coding RNA from Scylla paramamosain (green mud crab), 1154 nucleotides. RefSeq lists it as uncharacterized. NCBI's taxonomy places the organism in Eukaryota, Metazoa, Arthropoda, Malacostraca, Decapoda, Portunidae. The record is from RefSeq and is a predicted model, not a curated record. The transcript has 5 exons.